AAAAAAAAAAAAAAAAAGGCAAGAAGAAGAAGAAAAGUAAGUGUGUAUGUGUGUGUGUGUGCGUAUUCGUGUUCGUGUAUGUGUGUGUGUGACAGGGAGAGAGGAAGAGAGAGAGAGGAGGGGGAGAUUCACAGAGUCCUGCUUUCCUGAGCUGAGAGCUGCUGGUUCCCAAGCCGAAAGUAUUAGGAGAAACACGGCUUCUUGUGUGUUUGCUGCAUUUGCACAAUGAAAUCACUUCUAUUUUUAUUCCUGCUAACCGGCCGCUUUUGCUUGAAUCCACUCCGAGCCAUGGACGACAGAAACAAAAAAAAAAAAAAGUACUUAAAAACAACUAGACAAAAAAAAAGAGGGAAAGAAAACCUUAACAAACCCAACCACGCUGGGAUGAGGAUUACUCACUUUAGCGCUGCCUGGACCCGGCCGGGCGGCUCGGGUCUGGGAUUGUGCCGGGUUUCAAGGACACGGGAGAUGAUCAGGACUUUGGGAGCCAACAUCUGCCUGGCUGGUGACGUCAGCAACCCCGUGUAAUCCUCUUGUACUGAAGGCAGAUGCCUUAUUUGUUUGGCUGGAGAGGCAUUAAUCCCUAAUUCUGGAGCAGCAAGCGAGGGGGAGAGACCGGACCGCUUCCUAUCCCCCGAAAGCAGCUAGAGGGGCUCUCCUCUCCUGCGCUCCCCGGCUCCGACUGGGUGGAGGAGCCGCCAGCCCUCGGCAGGCGGCCGCACGCAGGAGCUACGGUGCCGAGGGGGUCCGAAGCCGCCUUCCCAGUUUGCCCCCGGAUGCCCCGGGAAGCUACGGGAAAAGUCUCUGAGAAGCCCAGCUCGCCGCAGGAUCCCGACCGCCGCCGCCUGCAGCCGCAGCACAUCCCGCUUCGCCUCCUCUCUCUCUCCCGGGCCCUGGCGCCGAGGAAGCAGUCGAGGUCAGCUGCCCGGUUCCUGGGGUCCGGCCGUGCUCCAGCCCGCAGGGCGAUGCAAGGUGCCCGGCCGCUCCGCUCCUGCCCGGCGCGCCGUCGGCACCCAAAAGGAAUGGUCCCGAUCCUGAGCCGUGAAAGAUGGCAAAAAGCGUAAUAAUAACAAUAAAAGAUUAGGCUAAUUUUUUUAAAAUUAUUGUAAUGACUUCACCCCUUAUUUCCUCACUCGCCAGUUCAGUGUAGGCAAGCCAGAUGGGCUGCCCAGACCCUCCCGGGAAAGGGGCAGGUGCGAGUGAGUUAAAUUUUUUUCUGCUUUACAAAGAAAGAUGACACGUCCUGCCCUUUCAUUUUUCAUCGCCGAAAGAUCCCCUCUUUCAACCCCCCGCCCUCCCCCUGGCCGAGGGCAGCGGGGAUGUUCUGGGGGUGCGGGCUCCCCCCGCCCGUGCUCCAGGGGAGCCGCAGAACCAGGAGGACCGAGACAGCGGAAAGACAUGGUCAUUCCUCUCAGCCAGGGAUGCCAAAUGACAGACGCCGACUCGGGGAGAGUCAACUCCUGUGUUUAAAAUCACGCGAAGACGCUGGUGAAAUUAAAGCAGUCAUCUGGAAUUGUUCAAUAGGCACACGCUUAUAUUAUAUAUAUUUUUUUAAUCGAUUAAAUACAUAUUUAACAGCUUCCUGAGCACUGCAAACAACAGACUGGCUAGUAAGAAAACUCGAGCAUGAGUUAUAUGCAGCCUGGGCCGGAAUGGGACUAGGGCGGAGGGAAAUUACCGGGUUGUUUUUUUUUUUUUCGGGGAUCAGUUGCUGUACUGCUGAGAGAGAGAGAGAGAGAGAGAGAGAGCGAGCGAGAGAGAGCGCUCUAAGGCUCUGACUCUCCGUGUUCACAGCGGACCUUGAUUUAAUGUCAUACAAUUAAGGCACGCGGUGAAUGCCAAGAGCGGAUCCUCAAAGCAGCAUGAAAGAUCUCGCUAGACCAUACCAUAAUAAUAUUAAUAACAAAAUAAUUGCAAUGAGCUUAAAAAAAAAAAAAGAAAAAGAAAAAGAAAAAAAGGAAAGAAAGAAAAGGAAAGACAAAGCAAUAAAGAGCUCGACAACCUGUACUCACCUACGGGAACCAGAUUAACUAGGACUGGUGGACUGAUUGGCUCAGCCCGGUGGAAAGGAGAUGCCGCUGCCACGGGACGGGCGCCCGCGGGGGCAGCUGUCAGCAGCAGGUAACGGGGCCGUGGGGGGCUACUGGAGCGGUGCGGUAGCCGCGGUGGUUUUUCAAGGUAGUGGUGACUCGACCUCUCGCUUUCUUGGGCUGAACCAUGUAAAGUCGAUUAAUGGGAAAUAAAUACAUUUUCUAAUAUUAUCAUGGCGAGGAUUGUUCUUUGCGCAUCGCUCAGCCGGUAGCUAGGAGUGCCCGCUCGGUGAUGGCUCCUCCUCUCGCGGGGCUCCUCUGGAAGCCGAGGAACGCGCGCCCCGGGGCAGCGGCGCGGUGCGCGGGGGCAGCGGAGCAGCGGCCGAGCCGCGGGCCGCGGGGGCAGAGCCAUGUGCAGAGCUGGUGCACGGGGCGGGGGGUGCCCGAGGCGCCGCGGGGGCACUGCAGCAGAGCCAUGUGCGGAGAGGCAGCUUGGAUGCGCGAAGAAGAGCGUGCGGAGGUUGCGAGGGAGAGGCGGGGAGGGGGAGCAGCGUACGGGCACGGUGUGUGAGAGCGGCGCGGAGCGGCGCCGGCGGGCAGCGGAGCGGCGGAGCGGCGUGCGGGCUUUGCGCGCCGGCCCGGGCGGCGGGGCGAGGCGCAAGGCAGCGGCUGGCGGGCGCGGAGCGGGGGCGGCGGCGGCGUAGGGUGUGCGGGGCAGCUCACGCCCGGGGGAGGGCGGCGGCGGCAGAGCGACGUGCGCCGGGGCAGAGCUGCACCAGAAGCAGGAUCUUCCCCAGUCCCAGAGAUAAGCAGAGGACAAGUGACCUGUCUGGUGCUUCAAGGCCUGGUGCACCGUGACUGCCACGGGGUGAGAGCCAGCCAGCAAAGGUAUGACAUAAGACUAAUUUUCACACUCUGCACAAAAUUCUUUGCAUUUCUUUUUGUAUUACUUAACUCAUCUGAUCAAUUACCGCAAUAACUCAGGAGUGAGAUAAUAGAGACAGCAAUUUGCAGUCUAACGUGAAUUAAUUUUCACUUAAUCUGGGACUGCUUUAAUAGCACGGUGGGCAUUAAAAGCCCCGUGCCACUCAAUACUAAAUAUUUGUGCAUCAGAAGUAGUGGUAAGAAAAUCUUACUAGAGAAAUUGCAUAAUUGGAAAACAGAAGAAAUACCAAAUCUUAAAUACACUGCUAGUAUGAAAUAUUUGAAAUUGCAAAUUAAGGACAAUUUGAUUAGCACCAGGAAACUAUUAAAUUAACAGAUGUACUGUUCACGCAAAGGUUGGUUUAUCAUUUGCCAUACUGGAGUAAUUCUGUUCAUUAAGCGAUUAAGUACAGGUUGCACAUUAAAUAAUAUGAACUGAAACACACACUUGAUACUUGUACAAAAAUACUUCAAAUGCAAUCUAAGCUUUUUAACUCCAUCACUGACAUGUUUUGCCUAAGUUUUUUUCUGUACAAGGAGGUGAAAAAUAAAACACAGGAAUUUACUAGUGUGUAUUUGAACUGAUCUUAAUUAUUGCAGCUGAUAAAUAGGCUAGUAAGCAAGGUAAUAACUUCAUUUGCUUAAGAUUUUUAACAAAGAAUUACAGAAUUAUCUGAAGUAUCUUCACAGUAUUUGGAACAAGGAAAUGACUAACACAUCUAAGUCUUCCUGACUUCAGAGGGUUAUAGCUCAACACUAUAUCAUUUUGCACAAUUUGUAUAAAAUAACUCUGCAGUCUUUUUUGAACCUAAAACUUAUGCCAUACAUCAUUCCUGUCUUACAAGCUAGACCUAUUAGAGUUAUUGAAAGCAUUUUUAGACCAUUUAGAGAGAUUUAUGAUUUGAUUUACUGUUCUACAUCCAGGGUGUGAUACAUUCAACUGAGAAAACAUUUUUUAAUGAAUGUACAGGUCCCGGUAAAAGCUCUUACCUUCACACUUUUGUUUUUCAAAUCUAAUUAAGAACUUUUUACUAUUUGUUCUUCUUUAGAAAAUUUACAUUCAGUCUACUAAUAUUUGUAGAUAAAAUGAAAAGAGACGCUUUUCAUUAUAUCCACAAAUCUAGACAGCAAAUCUAAAGGCACAACCUUUACAUUUUUUACUAUGGACACUUCCAGGUAAUCCACAGACUGGAUAAAGUCCAUUAAAAAUCAAGGGCACUAGUUCUUUCAAGAGAGAAAAAUUGGGAUAUAUCUGACUUCUAUUAAAUUGAACAAAAGUAUAAAAAAAUUAUGUAGCUGUCACUAAUUAAAGCAAUAAUUAGUGACAUGUUGACCCAUUUUAAAGUUUUAUAGUUCUUCAUCUCUCCUCUGCAAAGGAUUCUAAAAGCCAAUCAGAAGAAAUAAUUUCCUUUAAAAGAAUGCCAAAACCCCAAAAGAAAAUAGAAAAAUCACUGGGUUUUUCUUUUUGCAAUUCUUUUGCUCAAUUUCAAACAAUUUAAAUGUCAGAUUCCCCAAUGUAGUCAAACCAGUGACUCCAGUUAUUGGUCACAAGUAUUUACAAAAUACAUAGAAAUCUGUCAAGGCAAGAUGAAAGAAGCAUUAAUUUUAUCAUGGUCAAUAUAAAAUCAAAUCAACAUAUGCACCCAUUCACUUAUAUGUUCAUAUAAAUAGAAUAUAUGAAGUGCACUUAUAUGUUUGCAAGCCUAAUUUUAGUAAGGUUUAGUAAGGUUAAGUUUUUGUAAGGUGUUCUACUCCUAGACCAGGAGCCAGGUUUAAACACGCAAUGAAACGUUGAAGAAUGCAGGAUGCAAUACACCUUUGGAAAGCAAUCCCAUCCUUCCCUGCAUGAGAUCUGGAUUUAAGAUGUGCUGCAGCACACGCUGCACUCCCAGCCAUGCUUCAGCCCCACAGCUCCAUCCUGGGAUAAGAGAAGAGCCCCCACAUGCUCAGCAUCCCAUCAGGACAGGACAGACACUCCGGGACUGCUGAGACCCCUUGAAGUGAAGGUUCAUGCUACUCACACACGACCAAGGUCAGUGCUCACACUACACUUUUAAAGCAGUCAAUUAAAUGCAUUCUGGGCCUUCCCAAAAUUAUAUACACACAAACUAGAGUGUCAAUCCUGGUUUAAAAGAAGAAACACAUUAUAAUUUAAGAGAUGUCCCAGAAACACUUUUCUUUGUCUAUGAAAAAUGCAGGACUUCUGGAAUAUGAUAUGAGAAAAAAAUAUAAUGACUUUAAAGACUGGGAAUAAUAGAAACAGGAUUUAAUGUUGCUUGAGAAUUCUAAAAGUGGGAGAUCACACUCUGGAAUUAAUGAAACUGUUCCGUGUUGUAAAUUAGGACUGCUAGGGUCUGGAGGCAGUAGGAGGAGUAGGACUUAGAAUAUUGUUUUGUUACAUAGUAUAUGUAUGCCAGCUGUGUGGUAUUCCCGUGGAGGAAAAAAAAAAAAGUCAUUGGGAUGCUAUUAGAGAAAAUGACUUUCUGUUAUAACCCUAGGUGCAGGCAAGCCUACACUGGGAUUAUGUACAGUGGUCAGUUGUGGUCAGGCAAAGGGCUGCCAAGACAGCAAGGAGGAUACAACGCAGGAGCCUGCAAAAUGAAGGCUGUUCUGCGGCCCACAUGGAUGUGGAAGAGCAAAGAUGAAAGACUAUCCAAGCUCAUCUGUACGGAAACUGUGAAACUGCUUGGAAAAUUUGAGGAAUAUAGAAGCUGAGCAUUUAUUAGGAAGCUUGCAGCUGAUACUGAGUAGGAAUGAAGACUGAGAUCCCCUACAAAGUUAAGUGAAGAGUAAUAAUUCUGCAAUUUCAGAAGCUUAUAUGGCAAUAUGGAGAAGAACAGAAAGGAGAGAAAUAAUUCAGAGAACAAUAGAACUGUGAAAAUUACUUUCUUUUUUACCUUACAAUGCAUUUUCUUCAGUCGUGUAUGCUCAUUGUUUUGUGUUAAGACAUUCGUGCAAGCAAGCUUCUUUCCAGCAGACAUUAGUAUUUGGUGGGCAAACACAAAAAUCACUAGAUUUUCAUGUCUUCAGGCACACAUCGUUUUGUUCAAUUUUUUCAAGCACUCACCCUCUCAGAAAGUAAAAGCAAUUCUGCCCAGCAAGCAAGAACCACCAACAGGUCCCAAGUGAUUAUGGGAUGUUUUUGAAGAGUUGUUUUCUAUGGAAACUUGUCAGCAGAAUCUGUGUUGGAUUCCUGACUGCAGCAUAUUUCUUCCUUGCACCACAUGAAGUAGGAUGAAGGGCACAGAAGACAGUGAUUUGGGAUAAACCUUGAGCCCUGGGUCUGAAACUCCAGCCCAAAGUCUGCCCUGAAGGAGGGGAUAUGGAAGUCUGCUAAGGAACAGGGGGGCAAAUCCUUCACUCUGUUUGUGUAUGCCCAGAUCUGGAAUUUAGAAAGACCAUCAAAAGAAGCAGUAGCUAAGUAAAAGCAGGAAAAGGCAGUAACAACUCCUGUAAAGCAAUUUCAAAUAUCAGAGCUAAAUCAGAACAGCCUUAUCAGUGAAAGAUAAAGAUGGUUGAUCUUUUAAAAUGUCCUUGAAAAAUACCUACCAAAUACCUACCAAACUAGAAAGUCAGUUUUGAAUCUGCUAGAAUUUCAAGGCAACACCAAAUGAUUGUGUUACAUAUAGACUCCUAAACUAAUACAACAAAAAUCAAUAUAAUGCACACUAGUAUAUCAUAUAUUCCUUAUCCAAAAUUCUACAUUUCCCUGUCGUGUUUCAACCUUUAUAUCCUAUAGCAAGUGAUUCCUGUGUGUUCCUUAAUUUUAAAAACGUAACACCCUGAUCAUACUCGCAACUACUGCUCUUGUGGCUGAGGAGGACAAGGUUGGGUUUUUACCAUCAACACUGCUCAGUGUUAGGAGUAAAGCUGGGAGAGAUGAACCCCACCCCUAGGUGAGAUGGAUUGGAGCUAGAACGCCCAAGCUGCACACAGAUUUGCCAUGCCCUCCUGUCCCUACUGAGAGCUGAUGUGCUUAGAAAGUGAUUAUAUUGGGAUUAACUGACAUCACUCUAACAGAUUACGUUUUCUGAGGGUUCUGUAGGAAAAAACUAAGGAGAGAUGGAGAAGUUCUAGGGACAUAAUUUAGCAGAACUGAAUUUCCGACUUUUUCAGUUUGCCUAACAGUGAGAGAAUAUACAGUGAUAUAUGGAGUAAUGUUAACGGGGUCAAAAAUUGUCUGAACUCUCCCAAACAAGCAGCUUCAGAAAAACAGAACCCUGGAAAAUUCCCAGAAAGAACUUAGGAAUAUGAUCAAGAUGAAUAAGAAAAGUGACUUGACACUCUGUAGUUAAAAGUCUUCCACAUUCUGUCUCCUGGUUAUGAAUUAUGUAGAAGGUGCUUGGAAAACAUCAUCGUUUAUGGAAAAAAAUCUGCAUCUCUAAAGGGAUCACAGAUUUGUGAACAGGAUCCUAAUUUAUUAUUUCAAUAUACCCUCUCAAGGGUGCCCAGCUACUGAAACAAGAGAAAGCAAUUUUAAGAAAUUUAUUUAUCCAGUUUUCUUUUAUUUUUUUUUUCAUCCAAGUAAAGUGCAAUAGGCUUGACUAGCCCUCCUCCAGACAGCUCCCAGAAGGGCAUGUGAAGACAACAUGGCACAGCAGGGUCUGCACAACCACCAGCCAGCCUCAGACACAGCAAUUCCCAAACAACUGGCAUCUAAAUUCAACAAUAUUUACAAUCUUCCAUCUAAUAGCUGGUUCUCACCAUGGAGAACUCCAAAGACAGUCAUUUAGCUGGUAAGCCCACACUUCAAUACUGGUACUCAGUAACUCCCUAUCUAAAGUUCUUGAGAUCUGCCUACCCUGGCAGGAGUUGAUAAGCACAUGUCUAUAUACCCAUCACACAGCCCUUGGACAGGUUGUGUCCCCAGUGCUGGGGUUUGGGAAGCCCCAGUACAGUUUCUCAGUUCCCAGUGUAGAUAAGCUGGGACCACCACAGAACUGGUUAUUAGGGAAGCUCUCUUGUUUGAAGUGAAAAAGUAUUUUUGCAGGUCAAGCCUUGGCAGGUCAGGGGAGAAAUGUUAUAAACAUUACAUUUUCAGGACUAAUUAAUGUGAUUCUCUCUGCUGCACUCUAUUACUUAUAUGAUACAAUUGUGUUUUUAGCAAAGUAGAGGCAGUAGGGACUACUUUAUUGGCAUAAUCUAAUAUAGGGGCAACAGUCCAAAGUGACACAUUUUCUAAAUUUUAUAUGGGUAGAUAUCUUAAGAGGUCCAUAAGAAUCAGAGCUGCUAAUAAACUUCUAAGAACAGCCUUGGGUAUUAGGUGGGCAUAAUGAGAAAAUCUGGAAAUUCAUAUUAAGAACUCUGCCAGUACACUUUAGCAUUGACAUAAACUCCUUAGUUUAUUACUUUUUCCCUUUUUUCAUUAUUAGUCGGUGUGAAAGAGGUUCAGAAAGGGGAGACUUUAAAAACCUGGUGAAGCAUGCUAUUGGGAAGUACCAUUAUAUAGCCAAAUAUUCCUGUCAGGCACCAACUCUUCAAGGUACAACAGCAUGUUGGCAGGAUACAUGCUUAUUUGUUCCCAAGUGUUACAUUUGGACAUCAUGUGCAUACAGUAUAGAUGGAUAGACAGAUAGAUAGACAGACAGAUAGAUAGAUAGAUAGAUAGAUAGGUGAUAGAUGUGUUUGUGAUAUAUAUUUAUAUAGGCACAUACCUUUACAACACAUCUACUAAAACAAAGGGACCUAGAGAAGCAAGAAGCUUUAAAAUACAGAAUUUAUAGAAGAAAAAAAUCUUUCAAAAUACUUAAUUCUAAGUUUUCUUCUAUUGCUUCUUUCACCUAAGUAAAAGUGCUUCCACUAUAUUUAACUUACUAAUGCCUGAAGACAUCUAUGGUGUUUACUUUAAGAUCUAAUCAAUUUCCUUUGUUACCGAAUCAGUUCACAAAAGCAUUUGAAAAAACACUCAUGGAUAUUCUUAGUGGUGAGUGACUUCUUGAAUCAGUUUAAUAAUUGAAAGCAAUAUUAAUAAACAUUAUCUAAUAAACAAUUACAUUUACUAUCCACUCAUAAUGCAGUACUGCUCUUAUAUUGUUUCACAUGUUUCUCUGCUUUUACUGCUAAUAGCAGUAGUAAUAAUAGAAUGCAAAAAGUUGACUCCAUGUUUUUGAUA
Passer domesticus (house sparrow) is the source of this 9066-nucleotide RNA transcript. RefSeq lists it as uncharacterized. The record is from RefSeq and is a predicted model, not a curated record. Lineage: Eukaryota; Metazoa; Chordata; Aves; Passeriformes; Passeridae. The transcript is spliced from 5 exons.